Molecule: long non-coding RNA, 1222 nt
Filed under: Olea europaea (common olive)
Lineage: Eukaryota; Viridiplantae; Streptophyta; Magnoliopsida; Lamiales; Oleaceae
Description: long non-coding RNA (OEUR_LNC014043)
Source: RNAcentral
UCCAAUAAUGCGCCCUCAAGUGUUCUCUAUGUAUUUGAGUCAGAAUUUGAGCUUCGAUAUGUAGUAUGAUUGGGAAAGACCAAUCGUGCACGUGAUGGGCCAACAUUUCCUUCCCAGUCCAUGUGUGCUAUAGUCUGUAGACUGUUUAAAUAGUAACCAUGUCGACUCAUACACGUAAUUCCAUAGCAAACCCAGAUCAAGAAAUUCGUCAAGAUCGCCGAAAAUCAACAGAGAAAUAUGGGUUUGAAGGUAUGAUUAUGUAUCUUUUUCAAAAAUGCUUUAAUUUCAGUACUAUUGACAUGCGUGCUUUUAUUUUUCCCUUUCAAUUUUGUAGUUGUUUGCACGGUGUUUUUAAAUGAAGAGUUCAGCACGAGAUUUGUAGUGGAUCUGGGUAAAAUUGAUCCAUGGAAUGGUAAUUCAGUUGAGGAACUUCUUUAUAAAUGGGACUUAAAUUAUUCAUAUCUUGGGAUUAUGGGUUUUGGUUUGUCCAUGAUUUGUUGUUGAAUAUUUUGAGAAAAUUCAUAUGGGUUUCUUGUUCUACUGGGAUUUGUGAAAAUUUUCCAGUUGUAUAUUACAUUGCUGUAUAUGAUUUGAUGUGUUUAUCUGAGUGAAUGAGGAGUGAUUUGAGAGUUUUGCUGUUUGAUGCUGCUAUGGGAGUGUCAGUUAAUGUGAACUGAAUAUAGUGUAUGUUUGGUAGUGACUUUCCUUUCCAAAAAAUCAAUUUUUUGACCGUUAUUUUAUUAUUGCAGCUAUUAUUUUUGACUUUUUCUCUCAUAGGUAAACUCACUUUUCUCUCGAACGGUCAAAAAAAUCGAUUCUCAAAAUUACUACCGAACAAGCCCAUAAUUGAAGAAGGAAAAUGGCUAAAAUGUUGUAUUUUAUACUUUCUAGUCGUGUGGGGUACGUUGUACCAAACAUGACAAUAUGGAUGCGCAAGUCCUUUGUUAUGUCAAUGGGCUGAUAAUAAGUGAAGACGCAGUGUUGAUGCUACGACUUGUCUUAGUUUGCAGUUUAGCCUUUUGUUCCUCAUCCUUUCUGUCCCCAAGGUUGCUCUAUGAACUAAAUGUUCAGUGCAAGUGCAGAUUGCUGCUGGUAGCCAUAAUUGGGUGGCACGCUAAAGAGUGAGACCCGGGAUUUUCAUGAACAAAUCUCUCCAGUACUUGUCCACUUUCUAAGAAGCCGUAAUCGUUAGUUGACCAAAUCUAAUAGCAAUAGCUUUAGG